This 354-nucleotide unclassified non-coding RNA is filed under the name soil metagenome. RNAcentral describes it as "partial contains 5.8S ribosomal RNA, internal transcribed spacer 2, and large subunit ribosomal RNA". The stretch from base 1 to 120 matches the Rfam family "5.8S ribosomal RNA", at positions 35 to 154 of the family's 154-position model. The record is from RNAcentral.
GAUGAAGAACGCAGCGAAAUGCGAUAAGUAAUGUGAAUUGCAGAAUUCCGUGAAUCAUCGAAUCUUUGAACGCACAUUGCGCCCCCUGGCAUUCCGGGGGGCAUGCCUGUCCGAGCGUCAUUUCUGCCCUCCAGCCCGGCUGGGUGUUGGGCGCUGUCCCCCCGGGGACACGCCCCAAAGGCAGUGGCGGCGCCGCGUCGGGUCCUCGAGCGUAUGGGGCUUUGUCACCCGCUCGGGACGGACUCGUCGGCGCUGGUCUUCCUCAAGGCGACCCUUCGGGGCUCGUCUUCCUUCGGUUGACCUCGGAUCAGGUAGGGUUACCCGCUGAACUUAAGCAUAUCAAUAAGCGGAGGA